GGCUGUGAGGGUGAUCGGGCUGUGACAUCUGUCACCCCAUUGAAGCCAGGGCUGAUCUGGCUGGCUAGGCGAGUGUCGCCUCCUCCCUUAUGCACUUAACGCUGCUGAUAGAUUCUGCAAAUUUAAGUAAAAUGAUAUAUCGCCUCCUCCCUUAUGGAUCCAUGCGCAUCCCUCCCCAAGCUGCGAUUUUGGUCAAAGAAGAGGAACUUCCCCCCAGAGGAGAAGACCGGUCUUUGGUCAAGGGUCAAGGGUAUACGAGUAGCUACACUCCCCUGCUAGAACCUCCAAACAUGCUCUCAAGAAUGCAAAAGAUCAACAACAAGCAAGACAAACUUAAAGCACAAAAUGAGAGACCUUUCUCUGCCAAAUGCCUUUCUCA
RNAcentral lists this small nuclear RNA (379 nucleotides) under Myotis brandtii (Brandt's bat). RNAcentral describes it as "7SK RNA". It matches the Rfam family "7SK RNA". Rfam says of the family: 7SK was discovered as an abundant small nuclear RNA in the mid-70s but a possible function has only recently been suggested. Lineage: Eukaryota; Metazoa; Chordata; Mammalia; Chiroptera; Vespertilionidae. The record is from Rfam by way of RNAcentral.